ACAUGCUUAAAUUUUGACUUCCAAAUUUAGCCAGGCAGGGCAACUAGAUAAAGCUUUAGGAACUUUAGAUGCUAUGCCCAUCAAAGCCAGUUCAACGCUCUGGGGAUCACUUCUUCUGGCAUGUCAAAUCCAUCGAAAUGUGUCUCUUGCAGAAACCGCUGUAGAGAGAUUUGUGGAACUGGAAGCUGAUGGCUCAGGGGUCUAUGUUCUUUAGUCAAACACGUAUGCAGAUGCAGGAAUGUGGGAGGAUGCACUGAAAGCACGUAGACUGAUGGAGGACAGAGAAUUGAAGAAGCAAGCUGGAAGUUGUAUAAUCGAGGAUGUUUGAACGUGAAAAUCCUGAGAAUAAAAUUCUUAGCAUGGACACCGAGAAAUAGACUAUUUUGGGAGCUCAAGCCAAAAUCCAUGAGUGCGACCAAACUUCUACAACUCUCUUAACAGAUUGGCUUGGGUCUAUUUUGCUGGAAGCUGAGGGAUAGAAAUAAGAGUUCUCAAAUGCUAAGCAGAGAGAUCGGUCUUACCAAUUGAUAUUGUUGUGAUGUGACAUGAACUUUAAUCCUAAUUAAGGAUGUAUAAUCAAAUUCUCAUGAAUUUAGGAUUGGUUUGGUCUAGCAAUGAAAAACUCAUAAGACAUAUAUUCUCUAUAAA
Long non-coding RNA from Populus euphratica (Euphrates poplar), 648 nucleotides. RefSeq lists it as uncharacterized. The transcript is spliced from 2 exons. The record is from RefSeq and is a predicted model, not a curated record. Lineage: Eukaryota; Viridiplantae; Streptophyta; Magnoliopsida; Malpighiales; Salicaceae.